Molecule: long non-coding RNA, 631 nt
Organism: Lolium rigidum
Lineage: Eukaryota; Viridiplantae; Streptophyta; Magnoliopsida; Poales; Poaceae
Exons: 3
Source: RefSeq, a predicted model, not a curated record
AUUGUGGAACCGAGCCUGAUGAAAAUAUUGACAAUAGUGUCAGGCAACUUCCAUUGGUUGGUCCCUGACCCUCCGGUUGAUGGCCUUUAACUUGACAGGGAGAUAUCUGUCAGUCAAGAAUGAAUGGUGUUUGAAAAUGAGCCGUUGAUAUCCUGGUUGGAGGACCUAAGUAUAAAUCUGACAGUGUAGGGAUGGCCUCCCAUUGUCCCUCACUUGCUUUCUCAAUGCUACUGUGUUUGGUUUGUCUUUUGGGAUGUGGAGGAUAGGUGAAUUUCAGUACAUGCAUGUCUCUAACAUCAGAGGUCAGUAACGAAAGUUUAGCAUGUCCUGGCUGAUACGCUUGGAAGGCUUAUGAAAACGGCUAAACCAUAAACGACAAAUCAACUAGAGAAGAGAUGAUAUGAUGUACCUUCUAUGUUGUUUGACCUUAUUGGUGGAUAAUGUAGAGAACUUUUUGUUUGAAAAGCAGAGCUCCAUGCCCAUUGAAUGAUGAAGCACGCUGAAUAACUCGAAAGCGUUGGUGCUGGUAACUUGGUUGAGGGGUUGAAUGCUGUAAUAUCCUCUGAAGGGAGCACUGAAGUUGAUCAGUAAUCAGACACAGGCCAUUGAGGAUUAUUGCACAUCAACAUUC